GAUUCAUAACAAAAUUAGUUUUAUUAAAACUUGUUAAAAUUGUCCAGCUACUCAUCUGAGAGUUAAAUCUUGAAUGCUUUUUAUGGGACCAUUUUAUUCAUGACAGAGAGGGUUCCAGCUAUCUGACUUCUUGAAUCUAUCUGAUUUUUUUCACCUAAAAAUCCUGCUUAUUUUCUGCCAUUGAAUGUUUCGAUUGGAAGGUUUUUGGUUCAAUAUUUUGCCCAUGAUAGCAAAAUGAAGGGAUAGGGGUUGAGUUAAAACUACACUCAUGAUCUUACAAUUAUAGUACAGAAAGUAGCAAAAGUUGACAAAGUACUCCAUCAAAAGAGUCAUUGAAUGCCUAACAAAUAUCGACCUCAAAGUGGAGGAAUCAAAAACGGAGGUUAUUCUUGAGGACAGAAGGAAACUUUUAAGUAUUAGGAAUUGGGAAGAUAAAGUUUCUUAUUUCGUUUUCUCCUAUAUCAUUUUGGUCUAUUCAUUUAUAUUAAACUCAUCAAUUUUUUUGUCGUCGUUGAUUAAGAUUUAGAACUUGGUACUACUAUUAAUUACGAUUUUUGUAAGUUGACCCAAAUUAAUGCAUAGAAGUGAGAAUAAUACAGAUUGAUGUUUAAGAGUUGAUAUCUCAAGAACUAAUAGAUAUUUUA
Molecule: non-coding RNA, 644 nt
Organism: Onthophagus taurus
Lineage: Eukaryota; Metazoa; Arthropoda; Insecta; Coleoptera; Scarabaeidae
Source: RefSeq, a predicted model, not a curated record